This 1334-nucleotide ribosomal RNA is filed under the name Clostridioides difficile. RNAcentral's name for it is "partial 23S ribosomal RNA". It matches the Rfam family "Bacterial large subunit ribosomal RNA", at positions 330 to 1672 of the family's 2925-position model. The record is from RNAcentral. Lineage: Bacteria; Bacillati; Bacillota; Clostridia; Peptostreptococcales; Peptostreptococcaceae.
UAAUUGAAGAGGUUUGGAAAGACCCACCACAGAAGGUAAUAGUCCUGUAUGUUAAACGAGAAGACUUUAGAUAUGAUCCAGAGUACCACGGGACACGUGAAACCCUGUGGGAAGCAGGAGGGACCACCCUCCAAGGCUAAAUACUACCUAGUGACCGAUAGCGUAUAGUACCGUGAGGGAAAGGUGAAAAGAACCCCGGGAGGGGAGUGAAAUAGAACCUGAAACCCUGCACUUACAAGCUGUGGAAGCACAUUUCUUGUGUGACCGCGUACUUUUUGUAGAACGGGCCAACGAGUUACGUUAAGUAGCAAGGUUAAGCACUUAAGGUGUGGAGCCGUAGCGAAAGCGAGUUUUAACUGAGCGUUCAGUUACUUGACGUAGACCCGAAACCGGGCGACCUACCCAUGAGCAGGAUGAAGCGAAAGUAAAAUUUCGUGGAGGUCCGAACCCACGAGCGUUGAAAAGCUCGGGGAUGACUUGUGGGUAGCGGUGAAAUUCCAAUCGAGCCCGGAGAUAGCUGGUUCUCCCCGAAAUAGCUUUAGGGCUAGCCUCAAGGUGAGAGAUACGGAGGUAGAGCACUGAAUGUCCUAGGGGGUAUUGCACCUACCGAAGACUAUCAAACUCCGAAUGCCGUCAUCUUAUACUUGGGAGUCAGACUGUGGGUGAUAAGAUUCAUAGUCGAAAGGGCAACAGCCCAGAUCGUCAGCUAAGGUCCCUAAAUGUAAGUUAAGUGGUAAAGGAUGUGGGAUUGCACAGACAACCAGGAUGUUGGCUUAGAAGCAGCCACUCAUUCAAAGAGUGCGUAAUAGCUCACUGGUCGAGUGAUCCUGCGCCGAAGAUUUCCGGGGCUAAAACUUACUACCGAAGCUACGGCAUCAGUAAUGAUGGGUAGGGGAGCUUCCCAUACGGGUUGAAGCAUGACCGUAAGGACAUGUGGACAGUAUGGGAGUGAGAAUGUUGGCAUGAGUAGCGAGAUGUGGGUGAGAAUCCCACAGGCCGUAAACCCAAGGUUUCCAGGGGAAGGUUCGUCCGCCCUGGGUUAGUCGGGACCUAAGCUGAGGCCGAAAGGCGUAGGUGAUGGACAACAGGUUGAUAUUCCUGUACUACCGAUAACCGUUUGAGAGAAGGGAUGACACAGUAGGAUAAGCUAAGCACACUGUUGGUUAUGUGUGCCCAAGCAUUGAGGCAGUCAAAGUAGGCAAAUCCGCUUUGAUAAUGCUGGGAUGUGAUGGGGAGCGAAAUUUAGUAGCGAAGUAGCUGAUUUCACACUGUCAAGAAAAGUCUCUAUCGAGGUUAAAGGUACCCGUACCGCAAACCGACACAGGUGGGUGAGG